AUGCCGCUGGGGCUGAUACUGAGCUCGAUCGGGAGGUCGAUGCGGCGGAAGCGGACGUCCUCGCUCAACAUCCUCUCCUCCAAGAGGGCGCCCCGGGAUUACUACAAGGGCAAGAACUGCAAGCCCACCGGGUUCCACACCCGCAAAGGUGGCUAUGUGAUGGUGGAUGCAAAGUUACCAAGAUUCGUGGUCCCUGACUUGACUGAUUUUAAGUUGAAGCCAUAUGUAUCACAAUGUGCCAGGGACGAACUCGGAGCCUCCUCAACUGAAAACAAGAACUGA
Molecule: ribosomal RNA, 282 nt
Filed under: Triticum aestivum (bread wheat)
Lineage: Eukaryota; Viridiplantae; Streptophyta; Magnoliopsida; Poales; Poaceae
Description: partial small subunit ribosomal RNA
Source: RNAcentral